This 253-nucleotide ribosomal RNA is filed under the name uncultured bacterium. RNAcentral describes it as "partial 16S ribosomal RNA". It matches the Rfam family "Bacterial small subunit ribosomal RNA", at positions 524 to 776 of the family's 1533-position model. The record is from RNAcentral.
UACGUAGGGUGCGAGCGUUAAUCGGAAUUACUGGGCGUAAAGCGUGCGCAGGCGGUUCUCCAAGUCCGUUGUGAAAGCCCCGGGCUCAACCUGGGAAUGGCAUUGGAAACUGGCGAGCUGGAGUGUGGCAGAGGGGGGUGGAAUUCCGCGUGUAGCAGUGAAAUGCGUAGAGAUGCGGAGGAACACCGAUGGCGAAGGCAGGUCUCUGGGCCACUACUGACGCUGAGAAGCGAAAGCAUGGGGAGCGAACAGG